CCUUCUGAGGUAGAUAAUAAUGAUAACCUGACUGCUGAUGAAGAUGAUCUUGAUCUAAAUAUAGAUGACAUUGACAUAGAUGAUCAUGAAGAAAAACACAGA
This is a non-coding RNA of Arachis ipaensis, 102 nucleotides long. NCBI's taxonomy places the organism in Eukaryota, Viridiplantae, Streptophyta, Magnoliopsida, Fabales, Fabaceae. The record is from RefSeq and is a predicted model, not a curated record.